RNAcentral lists this ribosomal RNA (435 nucleotides) under Triticum aestivum (bread wheat). RNAcentral's name for it is "partial small subunit ribosomal RNA". The record is from RNAcentral. Lineage: Eukaryota; Viridiplantae; Streptophyta; Magnoliopsida; Poales; Poaceae.
AUGUUGCAUGAUAAUUACUCAAAUUGUAACCCAGAAUUUGUACAGGCUGCCUGCAAGAAAUUUGAAUCGAAAAUCUCUGAGCUGAAGAACCGCCUGAAGACUCAGGAAACUGACACCCGGAAGGCCAAUGCCAAAUUUGAGUUCAGUGUUGCUGCACAAGAAAAACUGAAAAAGAAAUUUGAAACAGAAAGAAAGACUUGGGCCGAGGAGAAGACUGCCUUGCUCAGCCAGGCCGAACAAGCUGAGGCUGCUCUGACUGAAAGAACCGCCGAACUCUCCGGCUUAAAACGCCAUGUGUCACAGAUGGUCUCCGCAAUCUUCGGUAAGUCAUUCUGCAAGCUUUUAAUAAGUUUACAUUCUUUAUGUCUCAUAAGUCCCACCAUUGCCAUCAGCUCAUCUGACGUUAUUAUGCAGGUCCCAGAAGCUCCAAUUUGA